This 468-nucleotide ribosomal RNA is filed under the name uncultured bacterium. RNAcentral's name for it is "partial 16S ribosomal RNA". It matches the Rfam family "Bacterial small subunit ribosomal RNA", at positions 28 to 507 of the family's 1533-position model. The record is from RNAcentral.
GACGAACGCUGGCGGCGUGCUUAACACAUGCAAGUCGAACGGAAAGGCCCUGCUUUUGUGGCGUGCUCGAUUGCCGAACGGGUGAGUAACACGUGAGUAACCUGCCCUUGACUUUGGGAUAACUUCAGGAAACUGCGGCUCAUACCCGAUAGGAUCUCCUGCUGCAUGGUGGGGGUUGGAAAGUUUCGGCGGUUGGGGAUGGACUCGCGGCUUAUCGGCUUGUUUGGGGGGUAGGUGCUUUCCAAGGGUUUGACGGCUAGCCGGCCUGAGAGGGUGACCGGCGACAUGGGGACUGAGAUACGGACCAGACGCCUACGGGAGGCAGCAGUGGAGAAUAUGGCACAAUGGGCGGAAGCCUGAGGCAGCAACGCCGGGUGCGGGAAGACGGCCUUCGGGUGGUAAACCGCUGUCGCCGGUGACGAAGCGUGAGUGACGGUAAUGGGUAAAGAAGCACCGGCUAACUACGUG